RNAcentral lists this ribosomal RNA (735 nucleotides) under uncultured Intrasporangiaceae bacterium. Its description in RNAcentral is "bacterial SSU rRNA". It matches the Rfam family "Bacterial small subunit ribosomal RNA", at positions 62 to 795 of the family's 1533-position model. Lineage: Bacteria; Bacillati; Actinomycetota; Actinomycetes; Micrococcales; Intrasporangiaceae. The record is from RNAcentral.
UCGAACGGAUCAGAGGGGCUUGCUCUUCUGGUUAGUGGCGAACGGGUGAGAAACACGUGAGUAACCUGCCCUUCACUCUGGGAUAACGUCGGGAAACCGGUGCUAAUACUGGAUAUGACCUACUCGGGCAUCCGAUGUGGGUGGAAAGAUUUAUUGGUGGGGGAUGGACUCGCGGCCUAUCAGCUUGUUGGUGAGGUAAUGGCUUACCAAGGCGACGACGGGUAGCCGGCCUGAGAGGGCGAUCGGCCACACUGGGACUGAGACACGGCCCAGACUCCUACGGGAGGCAGCAGUGGGGAAUAUUGCACAAUGGGCGAAAGCCUGAUGCAGCGACGCCGCGUGAGGGAUGAAGGCCUUCGGGUUGUAAACCUCUUUCAGCAGGGAAGAAGCAGCCGGGUUUUCUUGGUUGUGACGGUACCUGCAGAAGAAGCACCGGCUAACUACGUGCCAGCAGCCGCGGUAAUACGUAGGGUGCAAGCGUUGUCCGGAAUUAUUGGGCGUAAAGAGCUUGUAGGUGGUUUGUCGCGUCUGUUGUGAAAUUUCGGGGCUCAACUCCGAACUUGCAGUGGAUACGGGCAGACUAGAGUGUGGUAGGGGAGACUGGAAUUCCUGGUGUAGCGGUGAAAUGCGCAGAUAUCAGGAGGAACACCGAUGGCGAAGGCAGGUCUCUGGGCCAUUACUGACACUGAGAAGCGAAAGCAUGGGGAGCGAACAGGAUUAGAUACCCUGGUAGUC